This 475-nucleotide ribosomal RNA is filed under the name uncultured bacterium. Its description in RNAcentral is "bacterial SSU rRNA". It matches the Rfam family "Bacterial small subunit ribosomal RNA", at positions 32 to 518 of the family's 1533-position model. The record is from RNAcentral.
AAUCAACGCUGGCGGCGUGCCUCAGACAUGCAAGUCGAACGAUUAAACUUUCCUUCGGGAAAGAUAUAAAGUGGCGCACGGGUGAGUAACACGUAAGUAAUCUACCCUCGAGUGGGGAAUAACGUCCGGAAACGGACGCUAAUACCGCAUAAUGCAGCGGCACCGCAAGGUGACAGUUGUUAAAGAUUUAUCGCUUGAGGAGGAGCUUGCGGCAGAUUAGCUAGUUGGUAAGGAAUGGCUUACCAAGGCUACGAUCUGUAACCGGUCUAAGAGGACGGUCGGUCACACUGACACUGAAUAACGGGUCAGACUCCUACGGGAGGCAGCAGUCGGGAAUUUUGGGCAAUGGGCGAAAGCCUGACCCAGCAACGCCGCGUGAAGGAUGAAGUAUUUCGGUAUGUAAACUUCGAAAGAAUGGGAAGAAUAAAUGACGGUACCAUUUAUAAGGUCCGGCUAACUACGUGCCAGCAGCCGC